Molecule: ribosomal RNA, 253 nt
Filed under: uncultured bacterium
Lineage: Bacteria
Description: partial 16S ribosomal RNA
Rfam family: Bacterial small subunit ribosomal RNA
Source: RNAcentral
AACGUAGGAGACAAACGUUAUCCGGAGUUACUGGGCGUAAAGGGCGUGUAGGUGGUUGUGUAAGUCUGGCGUGAAAUUUUUCGGCUUAACCGGGAAAGGUCGUCGGAUACUGCACAACUAGAGGACGGUAGAGGCGUGUGGAAUUCCGGGUGUAGUGGUGAAAUGCGUAGAGAUCCGGAAGAACACCGGUGGCGAAGGCGGCCUGCUGGGCAGUGGCUGACGCUGAGGCGCGACAGCGUGGGGAGCAAACAGG